ACGAAUUAGAACGAACCUGUGAAUUGCUCUCAGAGCUGAUGGGAUCUAAAAGGAACUCAUUCUGACCAAUCAGAAUCCAGAAUUCAUCAGAGCUGCGGUCAGAUUAACCGCGCUGAUUGCUUGUGUGUGUGUGUGUGUGUGUGUGUGUGUGUGUGUGUGUGAAUAGUGUGUUUCAUUACAACAGCCUUCCAAACACGCACUCACCAACUUGUGUCUUUUUUUUCUCCCACCAGGCCAUGGAUCAAGGAUUUUGUUGUUGUUGUUGUUGUUGUUGUUUUUCGAUUUCUAGCACUUUCAGCAUGUUUGCAACUCUAAUGCCAUCAGGAAAGCAUGCAGCCUGUGGAAUAUAAAUGUUUAAUCUGACAUUUAUUUGCAGUCCGUGAUGCACUUCAAAUUUUUUCUCCUGAUGCACUUGACUGAAGCGUGGAUUUGUAUUGGAAAACAGUCCUAGACAAUUACCAGUUACUGCACACGGUGCAUUUCAAGUGGUCUGAGAGUUCCUCCGAGGGGCCUUAGGGACAUAAUCUCCAAUUAUUUGAUCAAACAGCAUCACAACAAGAACAAAACUGAGAGAUUAGGACGCAGAAAGAUGAAAACAUUUAUUCCAGAGAGAACACAGCAGUGGGAAUGAAUUAACCGACGGGGAAAACAGAUCCAAAAACCUUGCCGGUGGACUGGCUUCUCUAAACAUCCCCUGAGAUGAGGACGAGUGUGUGAAUUUUCAACUAUGGCAUUUCACAACUAUACUCUUUCAUCGCUUACAAUGUGAUCGAUAUAUAACGAAGCGAAAAGCAUCAAAAUAAAUAUCAAAUAAAAUCAAUCCCAACGAAAGAUCUGACAAAUCCGAUUCCUUUCUUUGCCAUUUGUUACAGGAUCCGAUUACCGAUGUGUUCUCUCUCAGAUUUUUUUUGCAAGUAUCGACACGCUCACGAUAUUUGUUUAUCAGAUCAGCGCCAUCUCAGAUUGUUACUAUA
Ictalurus furcatus (blue catfish) is the source of this 974-nucleotide long non-coding RNA. RefSeq lists it as uncharacterized. The transcript is spliced from 4 exons. The record is from RefSeq and is a predicted model, not a curated record. NCBI's taxonomy places the organism in Eukaryota, Metazoa, Chordata, Actinopteri, Siluriformes, Ictaluridae.